This 450-nucleotide ribosomal RNA is filed under the name uncultured bacterium. RNAcentral describes it as "partial 16S ribosomal RNA". It matches the Rfam family "Bacterial small subunit ribosomal RNA", at positions 354 to 796 of the family's 1533-position model. The record is from RNAcentral.
GUGGGGAAUAUUGGACAAUGGGCGAAAGCCUGAUCCAGCCAUGCCGCGUGUGUGAAGAAGGUCUUCGGAUUGUAAAGCACUUUAAGUUGGGAGGAAGGGCAGUAAGUUAAUACCUUGCUGUUUUGACGUUACCGACAGAAUAAGCACCGGCUAACUUCGUGCCAGCAGCCGCGGUAAUACGAAGGGUGCAAGCGUUAAUCGGAAUUACUGGGAGUAAAGCGCGCGUAGGGGGUUUUGUAAGUUGGAGGGGAAAUCCCCGGGCUCAACCUGGGAACUGCCUCCAAAACUGCAUGACUAGAGUACGGUAGAGGGUAGUGGAAUUUCCUGUGUAGCGGUGAAAUGCGUAGAUAUAGGAAGGAACACCAGUGGCGAAGGCGACUACCUGGACUGAUACUGACACUGAGGUGCGAAAGCGUGGGGAGCAAACAGGAUUAGAAACCCCGGUAGUCC